GAGAAACUCAUUAAUGCAAACGUGCACUUGAUUGUGAUUGUAUCACAACUCACCUCCAAAAGAGGUUGAAUAAUUUUGAAAUCUACUUCUGAAGUAGUAAAUCUAAAAUUUAUUCAUGUAAUAGUAAAUUUGAAAUUUACUAAAGAAAAAGUACAUGUCAUGGUAAACUUGGAGUUUACUAGAAUAAAAGUUCAUAAAUUGAUAUGAACGAUUGUGACAUCUCGAAGAUGUGCAUGUAUUGAAGAACUAGAAGAUUCUU
Molecule: long non-coding RNA, 259 nt
Filed under: Capsicum annuum
Lineage: Eukaryota; Viridiplantae; Streptophyta; Magnoliopsida; Solanales; Solanaceae
Description: long non-coding RNA (CANN_LNC000326)
Source: RNAcentral